This 1182-nucleotide long non-coding RNA is filed under the name Phascolarctos cinereus (koala). RNAcentral describes it as "lncRNA (ENSPCIG00000031655.1)". Lineage: Eukaryota; Metazoa; Chordata; Mammalia; Diprotodontia; Phascolarctidae. The record is from RNAcentral.
CCAUGGAAUCUAUCCCAUGGCAGUUUCACACAUUUCAAUGCAGGCGAAAGUAAGUUAGCAUGUGGACAUAACUGAGGUUAACCUAGAAUUUGGCUCCCAUCCCACAAGAAGCAAAGAAGGGCAGGCAGGCCCCUUUCGCAUUUCAAAAAUUUGCUACCAUGACUGGCUAGAUUUCCAAGUAUAAUGAUGAUCAUUGGCUCUCCAGGCUUCUCCUGACCCACUUCAUUAGUUGCAUACUGUGCUUAGUCUAAAAUUGACGUCAUUUGAUUGGACUGCUCUAUCAAUCAAUAACAGCAUUUUGUAAAAUACAGUACUGGCGAAAAAAACAACAACAACAACUACAGGUCAAAGAAUGAGAAGUGAUUUUCGGCAGUUACUCUGGGUCUGCAUGAGGCAGAGAGAGAGAGAGUUAUAGCUACAAUAUCAAUGUUAUGCGAGAGAAGAGAGACAUUUACAGAAAAAGAAAGUGAGCAACUGAAGUAUGGAAAGAUAGGAAAUAAGAAAACUAAACAUCUCUGAGGCAGUUUAGGGUGCAAUUUAAAAUCUGCAGAAGUGGUACAAGAUGGCAGAAGGAUAAGAUAACCACCUUCUAAUAAAGGAUUUGAUUUUUAAUGUGGUGAGUAGUGUGGCUCCAAAGAGUGGUGGUUUUUUUUUUAAUUGGGUUGCCCACUGGAGGAAGGAAAGAGAAGGAAGAAGCAGGCUAUGGAUGUUUAAAACCAACUGGAACUAUUAAGAUCAUGCGUGAGGCUGCUGUUCCAUGGGCAGAACCAGAGAGUUCCACUGUGGGAAACCUGCAGCACUUUGCUGGCUGCCCCCACUAGCAACUGUCAUCGUGGAAAUCGGCAGCAAGCUGCCACGGAAGAAGCCUGAGCAAAUUAAAAAAGAAACAAGAAAGAUCGGGAGUUGGUCUUUUUUUGUAGUAAUAUCAAAUGCUGAUGUUCCUGAAACAAAGAGAUUUGAGAGACCAACAGGACACCUGGAAAUAGUUUUCUACUCCUCUGCUUACUUAGAAGAGACAGUGAAGUAGAAAUGAAGCCUUCCUAUGUAUGUUUGUGUUCUGAUUUCUUUCUCUGUUUUUUGCUACACUUCAAGAAAUAUUAUGCAGUUAAUUUCCUUAACUUUCAGUAUUUUAUAAAAAUACUAAAAGGCAUUUGAUCUUAAACACAUUAAAUAAUGCAGUCC